AGGCGUCUGUUGGGGUGCCCCUCGGGGCUGAGAUGCGGCGACGCAAACCCAUUGAACCUGAACCGGUUAGGACCGGCGUAGGAAACAGCCCUUGCGACCGC
RNAcentral lists this non-coding RNA (101 nucleotides) under Pseudoponticoccus marisrubri. Its description in RNAcentral is "Ponticoccus sp. SJ5A-1 TPP riboswitch aptamer (THI element)". It matches the Rfam family "TPP riboswitch aptamer (THI element)". From Rfam's summary of the family: Vitamin B(1) in its active form thiamin pyrophosphate (TPP) is an essential coenzyme that is synthesised by coupling of pyrimidine and thiazole moieties in bacteria. The previously detected thiamin-regulatory element, thi box was extended, resulting in a new, highly conserved RNA secondary structure, the THI element, which is widely distributed in eubacteria and also occurs in some archaea. Lineage: Bacteria; Pseudomonadati; Pseudomonadota; Alphaproteobacteria; Rhodobacterales; Roseobacteraceae. The record is from Rfam by way of RNAcentral. RNAcentral also lists the same sequence under 1 other name.